RNAcentral lists this ribosomal RNA (599 nucleotides) under Cortinarius gentilis. RNAcentral's name for it is "partial ribosomal RNA". The stretch from base 216 to 369 matches the Rfam family "5.8S ribosomal RNA". Lineage: Eukaryota; Fungi; Basidiomycota; Agaricomycetes; Agaricales; Cortinariaceae. The record is from RNAcentral.
UUUCCGUAGGUGAACCUGCGGAAGGAUCAUUAUUGAAAUAAACCUGAUGGGUUGUUGCUGGCUCUCUAGGGAGCAUGUGCACGCCUUGUCAUUUUUAUAUCUCCACCUGUGCACCUUUUGUAGACCCAGGGAUAUCUUUCCAGGGGUCUAUGUUGCUUCUUCAUUUACCCCAAUGUAUGUCAAUAGAAUGUUGUGCCCAUGAUAAAAAUCUAUACAACUUUCAGCAACGGAUCUCUUGGCUCUCGCAUCGAUGAAGAACGCAGCGAAAUGCGAUAAGUAAUGUGAAUUGCAGAAUUCAGUGAAUCAUCGAAUCUUUGAACGCACCUUGCGCUCCUUGGUAUUCCGAGGAGCAUGCCUGUUUGAGUGUCAUUAAUAUUAUAUAUCAAACCCUCUUUUUCUGAGUGGUUUGGAUGUGGGGGUGCUGGCCUCUUGAAGGGGUCAGCUUCCCCUGAAAUACAUUAGCAGAACGACCUGUUUGUUCAUUGGUGUGAUAACUAUCUACGCUAUUGAACGUGAAGGCAGUUCAGCUUCCUAACAGUCUUUGGACAAUUUAUCAACUAUGUGACCUCAAAUCAGGUAGGACUACCCGCUGAACUUAA